RNAcentral lists this ribosomal RNA (221 nucleotides) under uncultured bacterium. RNAcentral describes it as "partial 16S ribosomal RNA". It matches the Rfam family "Bacterial small subunit ribosomal RNA", at positions 1279 to 1500 of the family's 1533-position model. The record is from RNAcentral.
CGAACAGUCUCAGUUCGGAUUGAAGGCUGAAAUUCGCCUUCAUGAAGCCGGAAUUGCUAGUAAUGGCAGGUCAGCAUACUGCCGUGAAUACGUUCCCGGGCCUUGUACACACCGCCCGUCACACCAUGAGAGUUGGGAAUACCCGAAGCCUGUGAGCUAACUUUUAGAGGCAGCAGUCGAAGGUAGAAUCAAUGAUUGGGGUGAAGUCGUAACAAGGUACC